Molecule: ribosomal RNA, 468 nt
Filed under: uncultured bacterium
Lineage: Bacteria
Description: partial 16S ribosomal RNA
Rfam family: Bacterial small subunit ribosomal RNA
Source: RNAcentral
GACGAACGCUGGCGGCGUGCUUAACACAUGCCAGUCGAACGGCAAGGCCCUGCUUUUGUGGGGUGCUCGAGUGGCGAACGGGUGAGUAACACGUGAGUAACCUGCCCUUGACUUUGGGAUAACUUCAGGAAACUGGGGCUAAUACCGGAUAGGAGCUCCUGCUGCAUGGUGGGGGUUGGAAAGUUUCGGCGGUUGGGGAUGGACUCGCGGCUUAUCAGCUUGUUGGUGGGGGAGUGGCUUACCAAGGCUUUGACGGGUAGCCGGCCUGAGAGGGUGACCGGCCACAUUGGGACUGAGAGACGGCCCAGACUCCUACUGGAGGCAGCAGUGGGGAAUAUUGCACAAUGGGCGGAAGCCUGAUGCAGCAACGCCGCGUGUGGGAUGACGGCCUUCGGGUUGUAAACCGCUUUCGCCUGUGACGAAGCGUGAGUGACGGUAAUGGGUAAAGAAGCACCGGCUAACUACGUG